AACACAGCCCCCUGAUUCUUCCCUCGUCUCUCCCAAAUCGCCGCCACCCACCUCCUCCUCUUCCUCCUCCGACGACCUCGCCGCCGGUCCCCCCUCCCCUCCUCCCGCCUUGGGGCUCCGGAGGCUGCCGGAUCCACCACAUCCCGCACCCAAUCCCUCUCACAUCUCAUCUGUCUCUUCACACGGCUCGUCGUUGCGCCACCUGCGGUGGCUGUUUGAAACGACGUACGGUGAAUCCCGCCACCGCGAAGCACAGGCUGAGGUCCCCUCGCACCACGGCGCCCUCCCACCCGAUUAGAUCCGGCGCUCACGGCCAUCAAAGCCCACCCGUGACCCUACCCCAUGGCUAGGGUUUCAGGAAUCGGCUCCGGCCUCCGGCACCAGUGGCCAUGUCGUCAUCCUCUCGUCCGAUGUGCAAGUAGGAACGACCAGUGGAUAGCCUUACUGCAGUUUGGGGCGUAGCCACGUUGCUUCCUCCUCUGGCUUCAGCUGCAUGCACCAAGUCGAUGUAGGGGGAUGCCAUGGAGCAAGCAGAGUUCAUGGAGCAACUCAUGGACGAUGCCAUGGAUGGUGUACAGAAUUAGCAAUGGAGCUGGUGAUGGCCAUAUAGAUUCAUUUCAGUGGGUUUUGGGCUGUAGGUUUGUUCCAAAGCGUGGCUGUGUCGUAUACUGUGGCGGCUGGAUUAGUCAUCAAUAACAACUAACACUCAUGGUGUUGUAAGUUGUGGUCUUAAAUUUAAACUUGAUGGUGCUAAAAUUACAAAUGAAUUCUAGGCAGUGCAUGUCGAUAUGGCACUUGUGAAAACUAAAGAUAUGGUAUGGAUUCACAAAAAAUGCAACACUCGGUAAUGCAGAAAAAACGAAGAUUGCAUGGCCUUCAACCUUUAUUCAGAAGAUAUCUGGAUGAUUAUAUGGGUGUGUGGAAAGUAUACUACACUGAUCAUGAUGAUGAUGAUGUCCUGGUUCAUAAUAAUGAUGAUGGUGGAUGCUUUCAGUUUUAAUUAAGUUGUAGGGAUGAUGUUCUUGUUGUGUGAUGUUCCCCAGUUAAGUUUUAGUUAAGUUGUAGGGAUGUUGAUAGUUGCUUUCAGCUUAAUCUUCGUUGUCAAGAAAAUUUUUAGAUUAUGCAUAGCACUUGGAUGAUGUUCCUCCUGUAAUAUAAACUAUUGUAAUUCAACAGUUUUAUUCAAUACAUGAUU
Triticum aestivum (bread wheat) is the source of this 1195-nucleotide long non-coding RNA. RefSeq lists it as uncharacterized. NCBI's taxonomy places the organism in Eukaryota, Viridiplantae, Streptophyta, Magnoliopsida, Poales, Poaceae. The record is from RefSeq and is a predicted model, not a curated record. The transcript is spliced from 7 exons.